UACAGAGGUCUCAAGCGUCGUUCGGAUUCAUUGGGCGUAAAGGGUGUGUAGGUGGCGCCGUAAGUCGGGUGUGAAAUUUCGGAGCUUAACUCCGAAACUGCAUUCGAUACUGCGGUGCUUGAGGACUGGAGAGGAGACUGGAAUUCAUGGUGUAGCAGUGAAAUGCGUAGAGAUCAUGAGGAAGACCAGUGGCGAAGGCGGGUCUCUGGACAGUUCCUGACACUGAGACACGAAGGCCAGGGGAGCAAACGGG
This 253-nucleotide ribosomal RNA is filed under the name uncultured bacterium. Its description in RNAcentral is "partial 16S ribosomal RNA". It matches the Rfam family "Bacterial small subunit ribosomal RNA", at positions 524 to 776 of the family's 1533-position model. The record is from RNAcentral.